UUUUACCCUACUGAUGCC
RNAcentral lists this small nuclear RNA (18 nucleotides) under Arabidopsis thaliana (thale cress). RNAcentral's name for it is "snRNA_13838". Lineage: Eukaryota; Viridiplantae; Streptophyta; Magnoliopsida; Brassicales; Brassicaceae. The record is from RNAcentral.